RNAcentral lists this ribosomal RNA (534 nucleotides) under uncultured bacterium. RNAcentral describes it as "bacterial SSU rRNA". It matches the Rfam family "Bacterial small subunit ribosomal RNA", at positions 76 to 609 of the family's 1533-position model. The record is from RNAcentral.
UUGCUUUCUUUGCUGGCGACCGGCGCACGGGUGAGUAACACGUAUCCAACCUGCCCUUUACUCGGGGAUAGCCUUUCGAAAGAAAGAUUAAUACCCGAUAGCAUAAUGAUUCCGCACGGUUUCAUUAUUAAAGGAUUCCGGUAAAGGAUGGGGAUGCGUUCCAUUAGGUUGUUGGUGAGGUAACGGCUCACCAAGCCUUCGAUGGAUAGGGGUUCUGAGAGGAAGGUCCCCCACAUUGGAACUGAGACACGGUCCAAACUCCUACGGGAGGCAGCAGUGAGGAAUAUUGGUCAAUGGGCGCUAGCCUGAACCAGCCAAGUAGCGUGAAGGAUGAAGGCUCUAUGGGUCGUAAACUUCUUUUAUAUAAGAAUAAAGUGCAGUAUGUAUACUGUUUUGUAUGUAUUAUAUGAAUAAGGAUCGGCUAACUCCGUGCCAGCAGCCGCGGUAAUACGGAGGAUCCGAGCGUUAUCCGGAUUUAUUGGGUUUAAAGGGAGCGUAGGUGGACUGGUAAGUCAGUUGUGAAAGUUUGCGGCU